Small nuclear RNA from Nycticebus coucang (slow loris), 134 nucleotides. RefSeq annotates it as U11 spliceosomal RNA. The transcript has a single exon. The record is from RefSeq and is a predicted model, not a curated record. NCBI's taxonomy places the organism in Eukaryota, Metazoa, Chordata, Mammalia, Primates, Lorisidae.
GAAAAGGGCUUUCUCUAUGAGUAGCACAUGUGGGACAACCCAAUUUCUCUUUGUGUAGAAUUGACAUCGAGAGAUUUUGGAAGCAUAAUUUUUUAUUACCUGGACAACUGGUGAUCAUUGAUCCUUGAAAAACA